Molecule: transfer RNA, 65 nt
Filed under: Dexia tenuiforceps
Lineage: Eukaryota; Metazoa; Arthropoda; Insecta; Diptera; Tachinidae
Description: tRNA-Phe
Source: RNAcentral
AUUCAGAUAGCUUAUAUAAGAGUAUAAUAUUGAAGAUAUUAUGGUGAUUAAUUAAUCUUUGAAUA